This 74-nucleotide transfer RNA is filed under the name Propionibacteriaceae bacterium. Its description in RNAcentral is "tRNA-Gly". It matches the Rfam family "tRNA". Rfam says of the family: Transfer RNA (tRNA) molecules are approximately 80 nucleotides in length. Lineage: Bacteria; Bacillati; Actinomycetota; Actinomycetes; Propionibacteriales; Propionibacteriaceae. The record is from RNAcentral.
GCGGGCGUAGUUCAGUGGCAGAACGCCACCCUUCCUGGGUGGAAACGUCGGUUCGAUUCCCACCGCCCGCUCCA